GUUGCUGCAGACAUGGAGGGAGACGGAUGGAUUUGGUGACAGCAGGUGAUGGGUUGUCUCAUUUCCCUUUUGGGCUGAAGCUCUUCCAGUUGGCUCUGUGGGAGUGCACAGGUGAGAUCCCUCCUGCACAGCUCCAACCUGCAGGCUGCCAUCUGGGGCCAUGGGAAUGUUGAGCACUGAGGAUGUGUGAGCUACAGGUGGAGAAUUCCUCCUGCACACCCCGACAGUAAAGGAAAACUGCCCCCAAGGGUGUUCAAGCUCCAGCUCCCAAGCAGGCCCUGGCUCUGCUCCCUUUUCCUGGCAAACCUCAGCAGCAGCAGGAGAGAGUGGGACUCCAGCACUGCACCCUCACCUAGAGGCAGAUCCCUUUUUGUGUGGAAAAGGACCAACCCUCAUCUCCACCGAGCAGGAUAAGCCCUGUGAACCUCCAGAUGAUGUCUCAUGAGACUGCAGGUGCAGCAGCCUCUGGAACAGCCCUGCAGAGGAGUCACUGAGCAGAUUUGUUUUCUUUUGUUUCCUUUUCUCUCCUGUAAUCGUGACUUUAUGUAGCUUUUGGGACUGAAAUCAUUGUCCAGAGAAGCUGUGGCUGCCCCACCCUGGAAGUGUCCAAGGCCAGGUUGGAUGGGGCUGGGUUAAUGGAAGGUGUCCCUGCCCAUGGCAGGGGCUGGAGCGGGAUGAUCUCUAAGGUCCCUCCCAACCCAAACAGUCCCUUGGUUCUGUAAUUGCAAAUCUCUUAUUUAGGGGAAGAGGGUUCACUCAGGAAAUAUAACAACAUUGACUCCAAAGUGUUUGAGGACAUGCAGGGGGAACAGAACUGUGGGUUGAGCCUUCAGGGGGACAGCUCUGGGGACAAUGUCCUUUCCUGCUGAUGGGACUCACCCCGGGCUGGUGCUGCUGCCUUGGGCAGGUGACACUGUCCCCUUGUGCAUUCCAUGCUGUGGGAAACUGUGGAUGACUCUUCUGAACCAGGGAAUCCCCCACUGUGUGUGAGGAGACAGCACUGCCAGUUUGGGAAUUCUCACUAUGGAGCUUGUAGGAACCAACAGUUCCUUUGGCCAUGGGUUGCUGAGAACCCAGAAACCACCCCAUGGAGUUCCCCACUGUGACCCCUUGCUGAGCCAGCCAGGCUCCAUGAGGAAUUUCUCCUUUUAGGAGGGAUUUUUUCACAAAAAGGAUGAUUAAAUAUUGGC
Pseudopipra pipra is the source of this 1190-nucleotide long non-coding RNA. RefSeq lists it as uncharacterized. Lineage: Eukaryota; Metazoa; Chordata; Aves; Passeriformes; Pipridae. The transcript has 3 exons. The record is from RefSeq and is a predicted model, not a curated record.